This 76-nucleotide transfer RNA is filed under the name Salmonella enterica. RNAcentral's name for it is "tRNA-Met". It matches the Rfam family "tRNA". Rfam says of the family: Transfer RNA (tRNA) molecules are approximately 80 nucleotides in length. Their secondary structure includes four short double-helical elements and three loops (D, anti-codon, and T loops). The record is from RNAcentral. Lineage: Bacteria; Pseudomonadati; Pseudomonadota; Gammaproteobacteria; Enterobacterales; Enterobacteriaceae.
GGCCCUUUAGCUCAGUGGUCAGAGCAGGCGGCUCAUAACCGCUUGGUCGCUGGUUCAAGUCCAGCAAGGGCCACCA